UUCCAUCUGUAUGUCCUGGGGGAAAUCAAUUAGGGGGGUGUCGGAAGAAUCACCUAGCCCUUCUUCAGUUCCGUUCUCCAUCGAUGCUCGUGAGGCAGCUUCAAGUUGCCACAUCUCUGCAAGGGCUAGCUGCAACCUGGCCUUGGCUGCCGAUAUUUCGACAAUGGGUAGAGGGUAGUUGGAACCGAGUUCGAUUCCUGCAGCUUGUAGUACGGAUUCGGGUGCAUCCCAGGGAUGGUGGAUCCAGUCGGUGGGUAACCUGGCCAGUUCAGGGAGCCAUCGCCGCACGUACUCUCCGUUCG
This 302-nucleotide unclassified non-coding RNA is filed under the name Hevea brasiliensis (rubber tree). Lineage: Eukaryota; Viridiplantae; Streptophyta; Magnoliopsida; Malpighiales; Euphorbiaceae. The record is from RNAcentral.